RNAcentral lists this unclassified non-coding RNA (294 nucleotides) under uncultured Actinomycetes bacterium. RNAcentral's name for it is "uncultured actinobacterium contains 16S-23S intergenic spacer region". The record is from RNAcentral. Lineage: Bacteria; Bacillati; Actinomycetota; Actinomycetes.
UCACUACUUGCGUAGGCAGUCUGGCUAGAGUCCCCACCAUUACGUGCUGGUAACCAACCACAAGGGAACCGACAUCUCUGCCAGCGUCUGGUGCAUGUCAAACCCAGGUAAGGUUCUUCGCGUUGCAUCGAAUUAAUCCACAUGCUCCGCCGCUUGUGCGGGCCCCCGUCAAUUCCUUUGAGUUUUAGCCUUGCGGCCGUACUCCCCAGGCGGGGCGCUUAAUGCGUUAGCUGCGGCACAGAGACCGUGGAAUGGCCCCCACACCUAGCGCCCACCGUUUACGGCGUGGACUAC